GGCAAGAUGUCCGAGUGGUCUAAGGAGUUGGAUUCAAGCGCAUUAGCUUGCCUGUUAUUCAAGGAUGGGUUUCCCAAUAGACGUUUGUCUGCGGGGGUUCGAAUCCCCCUCUUGUCA
RNAcentral lists this transfer RNA (117 nucleotides) under Schizophyllum amplum. RNAcentral describes it as "Auriculariopsis ampla tRNA". It matches the Rfam family "tRNA". From Rfam's summary of the family: Transfer RNA (tRNA) molecules are approximately 80 nucleotides in length. The record is from Rfam by way of RNAcentral. Lineage: Eukaryota; Fungi; Basidiomycota; Agaricomycetes; Agaricales; Schizophyllaceae.